AUACUAUUUAACUAUCUUCUAGGACAAGGACUCACUUAAAUGAGACUAUGCAGUCCCCGGAUCUGCCUCCACACCUUCUUACAUAGUCUCCCCAAAUUUCACCGGACUAUGGAAGCGGGUCUUAUACAACGCUGAAGUCUCGUUCUUCGCUUCAGCCUCAUCGUUCUCACUCACUCGUUUCCUUCGCUUCAGUCUUCUCCGGCUGCUCUUUUUCAGGAAGGAAACUACUCGGUACUGGAGAAGUUCUAUGUACAUCGGCAAGGAUACAAGAACAGAUUUUCAAAAUCCAGGUGGAACCGCGUCUUUCCUUACUCACAACUUUGAUGUUGAUGAGGUUUAUCUUGCUUACAGUGUCUCAGAUAGCUCAGUAAAAUUGAGGGUCUGGUUGAAUCCUACCUACAGGGCAAUUUAUACUGCUGCUGUGGCAGGGUUCUAGUAAAACGUGGUUGGAACAGGGGAAUUUACCUGCUGAUAACUGUGAUUUUUAUGCUCAUUGCGGUCCCAAUAGUGCCUGUCGUAAAGGUGAACCACUGUCAUCAUCAUGCAAGUGUUUGAUUGGUUUUACAGCCAAGUUUCCUAACCAAUCAGCUGUGGGAAAUUGGUCCAGUGGCCGCGUUAGGGAAAAGAUGUUAACAUGUGGUAAUGGCAUACAAGCUUAUGCGCAUGUAAAUGACACAGACGGAAGUAAUAUUGGGAAAUGUUUGACAUGGUUUGGCGAAUUACUGGAUCUAGUAGAGAAUCACUACAAUUCUAAACGUGAUAUCUAUAUUUGUGUUCACGGCUCCGAACCAGGCAAGAUGGGUCUUUCUGUUAAUUCCUUGAAGCGGACUAUUGUAAUUGCAAUAGCCUCUGCAGCAAUUGGAUUAUUUACAAUAACUUGUGCGAAUUUCUUAUAGGUAGAGGAUUAUCGUAAGUGAGGCACUUAACCAUCUGUUUCUUGUAAUUGAGGAUCCCAUUUUUUCAGAAGUCCUCUAAUGCUGGUUGUUUAUGUAAUUGACUCAGUUCACGACAAGCUGCUUCCCUGCAUUGCUCUUUCAGUCAUUUCUCUGCCCUUUGGAUUCCUAACAAGUGGAGUUAAUGAAAUUGGUUCUGUUUUCGGAUGUAUGUGGAGGCUUUGAAAUGUGCAUUGUGGCUUGCCGCUUUGGCACACUUCUGGAAUAAUGAAGGUAUUACUGAUCAUAUCAGACGAGUGAGAUGACUGUCCCAUGACCAAGCUGCCAGAAAUCAACUUUGAGGCUCUGUUUUGGCGCAAAACUCCUAGAGAAAUGAAGCUUAUUUUUAGGCUCAUGUUGUUAUUACGUUAGGAAACUUUCAUUAUGGAAGGGAGCUUGUCCUUAUCACCAAGGGUGGCAUUCCUUUCUAAUCAAGCAAAAUUAACUUUGCUCACAAAGUAUGUAUUAGCUGAUCCUUUAGGAUGUGGCUCUCUAUCUUGCAGAGGCCAUUUUGACCCUUUAGGAUGUCUUGUAUGUUCGCAGUUUAUUAAUGAAAUCAUUUCCUAUAUGAUAAAAAAAAAAGUGUAAAACUACAUUAUAAAUAUUAUCUCUUAUUAAUAGAUAAUAUUUUGCUUUAAAAAAAAUAUUGUGAUAUUCAAAAUUAAAUUAGUCCUAAAC
This is an RNA transcript of Rosa rugosa (rugosa rose), 1610 nucleotides long. It is a transcript of the gene named G-type lectin S-receptor-like serine/threonine-protein kinase At4g27290, with no coding region annotated. Lineage: Eukaryota; Viridiplantae; Streptophyta; Magnoliopsida; Rosales; Rosaceae. The record is from RefSeq and is a predicted model, not a curated record. The transcript has 6 exons.